This 476-nucleotide ribosomal RNA is filed under the name uncultured bacterium. RNAcentral's name for it is "bacterial SSU rRNA". It matches the Rfam family "Bacterial small subunit ribosomal RNA", at positions 29 to 489 of the family's 1533-position model. The record is from RNAcentral.
AACGAACGCUGGCGGCGGGGUUUAGGCAUGCAAGUCGAGCGAGAAAGGGGCAACCCGAGUAAAGCGGCGUAAGGGUGAGUAAUAGGUAGUUCACGUAUCCUGCAGACGCGGAUAAUUUCCCGAAAGGGAUUGUAAUACGCGAUGAGACCACAGCUGAUCCGUCAGCCGGGGUCAAAGGUUCGGGAUCCUUCGGGACCGAGCGCUGUUUGAGCGGACGACCUCCGAUUAGCUAGAUGGCGGGGAACGGCCCACCAUGGCGAUGAUCGGUAGCCGGCCUGAGAGGGUGUCCGGCCACACUGGGACUGAGACACUGCCCAGACUCCUACGGGAGGCUGCAGUCGCGAAUCAUUCACAAUGGGCGCAAGCCUGAUGAUGCCACGCCGCGUGCGGGAUGAAGGCCCUUUGGGUUGUAACGCUGUCAAGGGAGGGAAACGUACGUCGCGAACAGCGGCGUGCUUGACUGCUCUCUAAAGGAA